Molecule: long non-coding RNA, 4293 nt
Filed under: Pelobates cultripes (western spadefoot toad)
Lineage: Eukaryota; Metazoa; Chordata; Amphibia; Anura; Pelobatidae
Source: RNAcentral
UAACCGUGCUAGCACCCUCUAUCACCAAGAGAGGGCAAUCUAUAGAAGAACUAAGGGUAUAAGACUAACAAUGGGUUAGUAUCACUCUAAAAAGGUAUUAACACACUUUGAAAUAAUGGUUACCAUUUGUGUCCUUUUAUCCAUUAGAAAUAUUUCUGGAUUUUGAUUCUUCAACAUGAUUUUCUGUAACAAUUAGUAUUUGUCAAAGUACACUUUUGACCUAUAACAUGUAUACAGUUGCACUUUUUGAAAAUAUAAUUCCAUUAAUUUUACAGUGUUUUGACUAGUGCCUAGUCUGACUUUCUUUUAUCAUUCACUUUAUUUACCCAACUAUAAGCCUGCCUAUAGGAAUGUCUUUCUCGUAGAAAGAUAUUCCUAUAGGCAGGCUUAUAGAUAUUUCUUACUUUGCAUAUUAUUAGUAAUGUCACUAGUCAAUAUAUCAAUGAGAACGUGUCAUAAAAAUUGCAUGAUUCACAAGAUUUUCUUAAGGCAAGUGCUAACAAUCUAUAAGACAGUGGAAACCUCACAUGUUUGGAAUCCACUGGGUUAUUCUCUAAAUUUCAAACUGUAGAAACUAAAAAUCCAUAUUUAAAAAUUUAAAGGAACACUCCAGGCACCAGCUUACUAUUCGGGAUUAAACCAUUCACAUUCACAAACCCCAGAGUAUACUAAUCAGCACCGGAUCGCUCUGUCCCCUGUCCUUCGUCUGCUCAAACUCUUGAAAGAGGAAGUUGCGGACAUGAAUGAGCUUCAGCCACAAAAUAAACUGAGAGAUGUAUUUUUCUCAAACUGUUGUUAUGAAUGGGGAGCUACUAACUGGCUCAGAGAGUCAGCUGACACUCUCACUCCUAAGUGUGGUCUGUUUCAAUAAUCUGAGCGGCGGUAGAACAGAGGGAAGAGUGAUUGGAAGCUGGAUACUGGAAUCUGGAGUUAAAUUGCUCAUGAAUAGUUUAACCUCUAAAGAGAAGCCAGCGCCAGGGAUCUCUUGGCAUCAUAACAACUUUUGGGCCCAUGUUUCCCUUAAAGGAUUAAUUAAUCAAAGCGGUAAACUAUAGCUCAGCUGGAUAAUUUUUCCAAAAUGGAUAUUUCAGCCUAUAUUUUGUCAGUCAGGAUUUCAUUCGCUACCAUUCAGAGCAUAGUGAAAAGUAACGUUGUUUUCUGUUUCAUAUGUUACAUAUUUACCUCAUGUUUUAAUUUUAUAAACGGAUGUGGACUGCACAACAAUCCAUACACACAAUGCCAAGUUCAGAAUCUCGCAAGACGCCAUGCACAAAAUAUUCUAGUAGCAGAAGAAUGUACAAGCACCAACUACACCUGUAUGAUUUGUAUAUCACAAUCCUAAACAUAACAUUAAACUGUAUCUAGGCAUGUGCUUGUCCAAUUAACAAAAUAUAUAAUAAAGUCACUGCACUCUCAGCCUUCCGAACCUAAAUCAAAAGUAAUUACAUGCAUUCCGUUAACGUCAUUGAAAGCCAUCACAGGUGUACUGUGCAUUUAUGAGUGGCUUCUUUUGAGUUACAUAAUAUAUGCAUGGCAUUAUCUCAUUCUUGCAGUUCUUCUAUCGUUGGUACCAGCAGGAGCUUAGAGAUUGGCUGGGACUAUCCAGCCACUUUCUGAUUGCUAUCAGCGUCAUAAAAGUCAGAUUUGAGCCUAGGCAAGAAAAAAACGAAACUUUUUUAUUAAAGCAUAAACUAUCUACAAGACGCAUAUAAAUGUCCAGCACAAUCUGAGCAGGAAUGCGAUCAUAACAUUUAAAACACUUAAAAAAUAAGUCAACCUUUCACAUAUUCUUGCUGAGGCUGUUAAUCCAAAAGAAGCAAAAACACAUGCUCAAGGGUUAUACUGCUAUAGUGAAGGGGAAAAAAAAAAAUCAACCUUCUAAUCAUUCUUCCUAAAAGACAAGAUUUGUCCCUGGACCAACACACUUUUAUUAUCGACAUCUAUACCACCUUUAAAAAAAAAAUCUGCACUACUUUAAUGAAACCAUGUCCAGCUAUUUAUCAAAACUGUCUGUAAAAGCACUGAUACAUAAGGCAUUCCACAUUUCCAUACUGGGGAUUUAUUUCUAUAACAAGUCAGAAAUGUCUGCAAAUUGUCUGUCUGCAAGUUUCUGUGUUCCCACAAAACACAAGAACAUUCUUGGAAAUCCAUUGGCUUGUAAUGUUCCAGAGCAACGAGGCAGUAUAUAGAUUGGUAAGAAUUACCAGGACUUUGCUUUGCAUUGCCACAAAUACAAGGAAGUAGAUAAUAAAUUAAUGUGUCACAUUAUAUGUCAUAAGAAAAGAAUCUUAACCACCCAUGUUGCUCUUAUGGACUUGCUUAAAAUUAAUCUACAUUGAGUGUUAAAAUGUUAAAGCAACAUUUGACUUUUGGCUUGUAGAGUACUGAACCAGACAUUAUAAUUUACAAAGCCAAAGCAAUUUCGUGUUUUUUUUCAUUGAGAACAUCCUGCAUCGGCUGCUGGUAGCCAAGAACAAUGUAAUGUUUAAUACUAUCUCCAGCUUUGAUAUCAAUAGUGAAUCGACAGUAGUAUUUUGAGAGUGGGUGUGGAGCAGCUGGGAAAUGUUAAGAUCCUUGGAUGCACAGGCUGUGAUCCAUUUGAAAUUUAAACAUUGUCAUACCAAUUCCCUAGAAAUAAGAGAAAACAAAGUCAAAAAAAUAUUUUAUUGGUAAAAAAAAAACUAAUAAAUAAAAAUCUAAUUCAUAGAAUGUACAUGCAAACACAAAACAUAUUGUUUAUUGCUGCUACGCCUUGAAAGUAGUCAAGGGUCUAAUUUUAUUUGUAGAACACUAAAGGAACACCGAGCAAAUGGACAGUGGUACAAUAAGCCUUAUAGAUUUCCUCUACAGUCAGUGCAAGUACUAGUGAUCACAUUAUCCAAUCACACAUGGAAUGAAAUAAGAUUAUCUCUCUCUGCUACAUCACAAAGGACAAAGAAUCGGUACAAUGAAAGCAAACACUAACCAAAUAUCAAAGAAUGUAAUGGAAUUUCAAGGUGUGAAUGACAUAUAAUACUAUACUGCUUUAUUCGUAUAAUGUAUUACUUUUGCAAACAUUGUAUUAUAUGUUUUGUUUGCAGAUAUUUUUAUAGUCGAGGCGUAAACCCAACAUGGCGACCGAGUUAGGUGCUUUUGUACUGCAGAGCACACACCUGAUAUGUUUCUCAUAUUCAGUGCAACCCUUUCUAUGCCAGCCUGCAGAUGGUUGGCAGAAUCAGUGUUAACUUCCUGCAUAGGAUUUUACUUGAAUCAAUGCUCACUUUGCACCUGCCUCUUAUAAAAAAAAAAAAAAAGGCCCUACUUUAUUUCCCCUAUGUCGCCUCCUUUUUACAUCCAGAGGAAAAGCACUACAGUUUCGGUUAGCUAAUGUACUUUGCUAAGAGUGUGUUGCUGUAAUUCUGCACAGUGAUUGGGGGUGUAUGCAGAACUGCUUAAAGGUGUCAUAAUAUAAUACCCACACUAUGAAAUCACAAAAAUGAAGAAUUAACAUUCAGUCGUGCCUAAGGACUAUAUUAGUAAUGUUAACAUCCUCUGCGCAAUACCUUAAAAAAAUAUUUCCCAUAACCCAAUAGUUUAGCUCCACCCCUUCCACAUGAGGAUUUAAUGUUGCACGCAGUUCUUUUGUUACAAAAAUGAAAAGGUGAUAAGAAUUAUAUCUGACACUGAUUUGCCAAGAAGCACUCGUAUUUUUUAGCUUGUAUUAUAUAUGUUGUUUUUUUUUUUUAUUCAUAGAAAGGAUAAAACAGUGAUUAUUGUUUGAAAAAGAUGGGGGGCAGGCAACUGUGCUUUCCAGGAACAUCUUGCAGGCAUCAAUCCUUGACAGCCUCCUAAUUUCAGCACAGUUGAGCUACCAACUCUAUGACUCAACAGCUACGCCUCCCAAAUCUCCCCAUAAACUACAUGGUUUAUGCCUGCCCAAUACGCAGUAUUUUCCAAUGCAAAAAUGUAUCUGCAAGCGUAGCUAAGGGCUUAGGCUAUUAGCAUAUUUUUUGGAAAGCUUCCGCACCACAUAACUAUAUACAAUUCCUCUUACAUGGGUGCAAUAAUGCUCUAGAUUUGACGCUUAAAAUAUUUAAGCAUUUACUUGCCUGCGGUAAAAGAUGAUGUGAGUGAGUCUUCUCCUUUCUUCAGUGUCGCAGUAUGUUUAAUGCAGGCUCAGUUCAUCAGCUUCUACAGUGAAAGAAAUAAUCAUUUAUUGGAUCCUCUCCUGAAACAUAGCAGGACAACAAAGACUUUUCAGUUCUAGUUUGCAUAAAGGAGCGGCCUGAAAAGUCAUGCAUGGCAAACGUAUUC